AGUGAACGCUGGCGGCAUGCCUAACACAUGCAAGUCGAACGGCAGCACGGUUAGUUCUUGCUCUUAUCGAGUGCCGAACGGGUGCGUAAUACGUCUGCACCUGUCCCUUCUUUUUCGUUGGCCAUAAGGAAGCGGGAUUUAUACCACUACCGCAUACCACCUUCGAGUGAGGGCAGUGGAUCUUUGGCGCUUUCGCGUUUGACUGUGCCGAUGUCGGAUUAGCUAGUUGGCGGGGUAAAGGCCCACCAAGGCGAGGAUCCGUAGCUGGUCUGAGAGGAUGAUCAGCCACACUGGAACUGAGACACGGUCCAGACUCCUAAGGGAGGCAGCAGUGGGGAAUGCUGGACAAUGGGCGAAAGCCUGAUCCAGCAAUACCGCGUGUGUGAAGAAGGCCUUCGGGUUGUAAAGCCCUUUUGUUGGGAAAGAAAAGCUUGAGGCUAAUACGGCGCGGGUAUGACGGUACCGGAAGAAUAAGCACCGGCUAACUACGUG
RNAcentral lists this ribosomal RNA (492 nucleotides) under uncultured bacterium. RNAcentral's name for it is "partial 16S ribosomal RNA". It matches the Rfam family "Bacterial small subunit ribosomal RNA", at positions 29 to 507 of the family's 1533-position model. The record is from RNAcentral.